Molecule: ribosomal RNA, 253 nt
Filed under: uncultured prokaryote
Description: partial 16S ribosomal RNA
Rfam family: Bacterial small subunit ribosomal RNA
Source: RNAcentral
GACGGAGGGGCCGAGCGUUAGGCGGAAUCACUGGGCUUAAAGCGUGUGUAGGCGGGUCGUUAAGUGCCUUGUGAAAUCCCACAGCUCACCUGUGGAACUGCUUGGCAUACUGGCGGUCUUGAGCCACUUAGGGGCAACCGGAACAAACGGUGGAGCGGUGAAAUGCGUAGAUAUCGUUUGGAACGCCAAUGGUGAAAACAGGUUGCUGGGAGUGUGCUGACGCUGAGACACGAAAGCCAGGGGAGCAAACGGG